GGGGCUGAAUUGGUUUUGACAGCAAGAGUAUGGAUUUGUAAGCAUGCCGAGCCUUGGGAUUUAACGCUCGUAAAAGUGAAUUCCUAUGUCAAUAAUUGACAACAAUAAUUUCGCUCUCGCAGCUUAAUCGUUUAACGAUUAUUGCUUAAUCCAGUCUGCCAGGCAGAUAUGGACGAGUGCUCCGCAGAAAUUUCUCCCCGCUGUUUCUGUAUAUGGAGUAUCGAAUCGCUGGGAUAGCAAAGGUAGGUUCCGAUACCUGAGCAAAACUU
This 269-nucleotide transfer-messenger RNA is filed under the name Bacteroidota bacterium. RNAcentral describes it as "Bacteroidetes bacterium (aquifer metagenome) partial transfer-messenger RNA". It matches the Rfam family "transfer-messenger RNA", at positions 1 to 243 of the family's 374-position model. Rfam says of the family: Bacterial tmRNA, also known as 10Sa RNA or SsrA, is named for its dual tRNA and mRNA-like properties. Its role is to liberate the mRNA from a stalled ribosome. The record is from RNAcentral. Lineage: Bacteria; Pseudomonadati; Bacteroidota.